This 400-nucleotide unclassified non-coding RNA is filed under the name soil metagenome. Its description in RNAcentral is "partial contains 5.8S ribosomal RNA, internal transcribed spacer 2, and large subunit ribosomal RNA". The stretch from base 1 to 121 matches the Rfam family "5.8S ribosomal RNA", at positions 35 to 154 of the family's 154-position model. The record is from RNAcentral.
GAUGAAGAACGUAGCGAAAUGCGAUAAGUAAUGUGAAUUGCAGAAUUCAGUGAAUCAUCGAAUCUUUGAACGCACCUUGCGCCCUUUGGCCAUUCCGAAGGGCAUGCCUGUUUGAGUAUCAUGAACACCUCAACUCUCAUGGCUUGCCAUGAUGAGCUUGGACUUUGGGGGUCUUGCUGGCCUGUGGUCGGCUCCUCUCAAAUGAAUCAGCUUGCCAGUGUUUGGUGGCAUCACAAGUGUGAUAACUAUCUGCGCUCGUGGUUUCCAUCAGAUAACCUCCAGUGAUGGAGGUUCGCUGGAGCUCAUAAAUGUCUCUCCUAAGCGAGGACAGCUCUUUUAAUGUUUGAUCUCAAAUCAGGUAGGACUACCCGCUGAACUUAAGCAUAUCAAUAAGCGGAGG